AGUAGUUUUUUAAUUGAAAACUUGUAUGAAUGGUUUAAUGAGAUAUAUACUGUUUCAUAAAAAAUUAAAUAAAAUUUUAUUUUUUAGUUAAAAAGCUUAAAUAAAAUUAUAGGACGAGAAGACCCUAUAGAAUUUAAUAAUUUAAUUAAAUUAUUUAAUUUAUAUUAAUUUGUUAUAUUUUAUUUAAAUUAUUUUGUUGGGGUGAUAGUAAAAUUUAAUUAUCUUUUAUUUAUUUAAUACAAUAAUAUUUGAUUAAUUGAUCCAAUUUUAUUGAUUAUAAGAUUAAAUUACCUUAGGGAUAACAGCGUAAUUUUUUUAUAGAGUUCUUAUUAAUAAAAA
RNAcentral lists this ribosomal RNA (339 nucleotides) under Azana anomala. RNAcentral's name for it is "partial 16S ribosomal RNA". The record is from RNAcentral. Lineage: Eukaryota; Metazoa; Arthropoda; Insecta; Diptera; Mycetophilidae.